This 467-nucleotide long non-coding RNA is filed under the name Cricetulus griseus (Chinese hamster). RNAcentral's name for it is "lncRNA (ENSCGRG00015032825.1)". Lineage: Eukaryota; Metazoa; Chordata; Mammalia; Rodentia; Cricetidae. The record is from RNAcentral.
GUUGGUCCCGGUGCAACACCUCCUGCCCACUCCCUCACAGGAAUGAAAUGCUCUCAGAGACCCUGAGUACCUGCCACGCCCAGCCCUCCUGGGCAGAAAUACCACUAUCCUCCUGAUGGACAUGGAGUCCUCCUGCAACUUCUCCAUGGCUGCCCACCUGUGCAUAAGGGCAGCCUGCAGGCUUCGGUGACCAUCAUCCCAACACUAAAUUCCUUGUCUACGCUGCUGAUCAUCAGCUGCAUCUAUGGAAGACAUGCGGACGGCGGUCCCGACUCACCCGUCCCAGCCCACCAUCCCCAUGAAGGACCCAGUACCUGAAACAGUGCCUGUCAGAGAAGGCACUUUGUCAAUACAUGCUGAAAUGUGAUCUGAUGAAGCAGAGUGCACUACACCAAACACUUGGGAAACCUUGAGGAGUGCCUUUUAAAACUCCUCCCCAGUGACCUGUAUGCUGGAAACACUUCAGA